UACGGAGGUGGCAAGCGUUGCUCGGAAUCACUGGGCGUAAAGGGCGCGUAGGCGGGGAGGUAAGUCGGGUGUGAAAUUCCUCGGCCCAACCGAGGAACUGCGCCCGAGACUGCUUCUCUUGAGUCCCGGAGAGGAAGAUGGAAUUCCCGGUGUAGCGGUGAAAUGUGUAGAGAUCGGGAGGAACACCGGUGGCGAAGGCGGUCUUCUGGACGGUGACUGACGCUGAGGCGCGAAAGCGUGGGGAGCAAACGGA
This 253-nucleotide ribosomal RNA is filed under the name uncultured bacterium. RNAcentral's name for it is "partial 16S ribosomal RNA". It matches the Rfam family "Bacterial small subunit ribosomal RNA", at positions 524 to 776 of the family's 1533-position model. The record is from RNAcentral.